Capra hircus (goat) is the source of this 766-nucleotide long non-coding RNA. RefSeq lists it as uncharacterized. The record is from RefSeq and is a predicted model, not a curated record. NCBI's taxonomy places the organism in Eukaryota, Metazoa, Chordata, Mammalia, Artiodactyla, Bovidae. The transcript has 2 exons.
CGCGCAGGUGCGUCCUGGGUUUGCGGAGGGGUUGGACCGGGAUCCCACCCUGCUAGGAGAGAUGGGGAAGCUCCGCCGCCUACCCGCCUCAGAACAGAUGGGUUUAACCGUCCGCCUCAUCCUUGGCUGGGAAGAACCAGUGAAUGCGCGGGAAAGUUUGUAGCGAGCAGAGGCAGGCAUUCCUCGUGCGGGGCUCCGGACCCACAGUUGUAGAGCCAGCGGUCUGCGGGGAGCCAUUCUUUUUCUGAGAACCUGCCAUCGAGAACAGCAUUAAGGGAAACACACUUAUCCCAGGGGUCCUGGAACAACAUUAGGAAGCUGGAGGUGAAUGUUCACAGGCCCGUCACGUGGGAGACCCCCAGAGAGCUGGAGCGAUGAGCAUGUGGCAGUGAUUUGGGUCACACACGCUAAUGGCCCAAGAAAAUAACACCAUUAGUGCCAUAAUGGGGCAGCAGCAUCUCUGUCCCCAGGACACUCACUGACUGGAGAAGGACCCGGCCACCAGGUGAUGUUAAGAUGCCCUCUGCUCCUUUCCUUCUUCAACAUGUACUGGUUCCAAAGUGAAUCAGCAGUUUGAACCCAUGAGGACCUUUGUUAUCUGAAACUACAUGUGCCAUCUAACUGCCUAGACAAAGAAAAUGACUCUUAAUCAAAUCACUCUGAUUUCCAUAAGCAGGGUAUCCCCAACCCCCAGGAUCAAAUGCCUGACAAUCUGAAGUGGAGCUGGCGUAAUAAUAAUAAUGGAAAUAGAGUGCACAACAAAUGU